RNAcentral lists this ribosomal RNA (253 nucleotides) under uncultured bacterium. RNAcentral describes it as "partial 16S ribosomal RNA". It matches the Rfam family "Bacterial small subunit ribosomal RNA", at positions 524 to 776 of the family's 1533-position model. The record is from RNAcentral.
UACGGGGGGUGCGAGCGUUGUCCGGAAUCACUGGGCGUAAAGGGCGCGUAGGUGGCCUGAUAAGGGUGUGGUGAAAGUCCGGGGCUCAACCCCGGAUCGGCCGUGCCGACUGUUAGGCUAGAGUACUGUAGGGGCAGGCGGAAUUCCGGGUGUAGUGGUGGAAUGCGUAGAGAUCCGGAGGAAGACCAGUGGCGAAGGCGGUUGCCUGGGGCUUUGCUGACGCUGAUGCGCGAAAGCGUGGGGAGCGAUCCGG